GGAAUAUUGGUCAAUGGGCGCUAGCCUGAACCAGCCAAGUAGCGUGAAGGAUGACUGCCCUAUGGGUUGUAAACUUCUUUUAUAUGGGAAUAAAGUGCAGUAUGUAUACUGCUUUGCAUGUACCUUAUGAAUAAGGAUCGGCUAACUCCGUGCCAGCAGCCGCGGUAAUACGGAGGAUGCGAGCGUUAUCCGGAUUCAUUGGGUUUAAAGGGUGCGCAGGCGGGCCUUUAAGCCGGCGGUGAAAUCGCGGGGCUCAACCCCGCCGAGCCGUCGGAACUGGGGGCCUUGAGUGCGGCGGAGGCAUGCGGAAUGCGCGGUGUAGCGGUGAAAUGCAUAGAUAUCGCGCAGAACCCCGAUUGCGAAGGCAGCGUGCCGUGCCGCCACUGACGCUGAGGCACGAAAGCGCGGGGAUCGAACAG
This 419-nucleotide ribosomal RNA is filed under the name uncultured bacterium. Its description in RNAcentral is "bacterial SSU rRNA". It matches the Rfam family "Bacterial small subunit ribosomal RNA", at positions 358 to 775 of the family's 1533-position model. The record is from RNAcentral.